This 331-nucleotide ribosomal RNA is filed under the name uncultured eukaryote. RNAcentral's name for it is "partial 18S ribosomal RNA". It matches the Rfam family "Eukaryotic small subunit ribosomal RNA", at positions 1470 to 1796 of the family's 1831-position model. The record is from RNAcentral.
CCCUUAGAUGUUCUGGGCCGCACGCGCGCUACACUGACAAUGUCAACGAGUCGACUCACCUUGGCCGAUCGGUCUGGGUAAUCUUCUAAAACGUUGUCGUGAUGGGGAUUGAUCAUUGGAAUUAUUGAUCAUCAACGAGGAAUUCCUAGUAAGCGCAAGUCAUCAGCUUGCGUUGUAUGCGUUACUUCCCUUUGUACACACCGCCCGUCGCUCCUACCGAUUGGAUGAUCCGGUGAAAUUUUUGGAUUUUACUUGAGAUUAGGGUAACCUAAUUUGAUGGUGAGAAAAAUUGAUUAAACCUUAUCAUCUAGAGGAAGGAGAAGUCGUAACA